This 416-nucleotide ribosomal RNA is filed under the name uncultured crenarchaeote. Its description in RNAcentral is "partial 16S ribosomal RNA". It matches the Rfam family "Archaeal small subunit ribosomal RNA", at positions 329 to 747 of the family's 1478-position model. Lineage: Archaea; Thermoproteati; Thermoproteota. The record is from RNAcentral.
GUGCCAGCAGUCGCGAAAACUCCGCAAUACGCGGAAGCGUGACGGGGCCAUCCCGAGUGCCGUCCGCUGAGGAUGGCUUUUCCCCAGUGUUGAUAGCUGGGGGACUAAGGAGAGGGCAAGUCUGGUGUCAGCCGCCGCGGUAAUACCAGCUCUCCGAGUGAUGGGGACGUUUAUUGGGCUUAAAGCAUCCGUAGCUGGCUGGGCAAGUCCCCUGUUAAAUCUAACGAUUCAAUCGUUGGAUUGCGGGGGAUACUGCUCGGCUAGGGGGCUGGAGAGGCCGACGGUAUUCCCGGGGUAGGGGUGAAAGCCUAUAAUCCCGGGAGGACCACCAGUGGCGAAAGCUGUCGGCUAGAACGCGCCCGACGGUGAGGGAUGAAAGCUGGGGGAGCGAACCGGAUUAGAUACCCGUGUAGUCC